CUGGGUGUGGCUCAAUGGUAGAGCAUUUGCCUAGCGUGCACAAAGGCCCUGGGUUUAAUCUCUAGCACACAAA
Molecule: transfer RNA, 73 nt
Filed under: Ictidomys tridecemlineatus (thirteen-lined ground squirrel)
Lineage: Eukaryota; Metazoa; Chordata; Mammalia; Rodentia; Sciuridae
Description: Spermophilus tridecemlineatus (thirteen-lined ground squirrel) tRNA
Rfam family: tRNA
About the family: Transfer RNA (tRNA) molecules are approximately 80 nucleotides in length.
Source: Rfam by way of RNAcentral